AAUCCAUAGGUUAAUGAGGCGAACCGGGGGAACUGAAACAUCUAAGUACCCCGAGGAAAAGAAAUCAACCGAGAUUCCCCCAGUAGCGGCGAGCGAACGGGGAGGAGCCCAGAGCCUGAAUCAGCAUGUGUGUUAGUGGAAGCGUCUGGAAAGGCGCGCGAUACAGGGUGACAGCCCCGUACACAAAAGCGCAUGUGCUGUGAGCUCGAUGAGUAGGGCGGGACACGUGGUAUCCUGUCUGAAUAUGGGGGGACCAUCCUCCAAGGCUAAAUACUCCUGACUGACCGAUAGUGAACCAGUACCGUGAGGGAAAGGCGAAAAGAACCCCGGCGAGGGGAGUGAAAAAGAACCUGAAACCGUGUACGUACAAGCAGUGGGAGCACAGGUUUACCUGUGUGACUGCGUACCUUUUGUAUAAUGGGUCAGCGACUUAUAUUCUGUAGCAAGGUUAACCGAAUAGGGGAGCCGGAGGGAAACCGAGUCUUAAUUGGGCGUUAAGUUGCAGGGUAUAGACCCGAAACCCGGUGAUCUAGCCAUGGGCAGGUUGAAGGUUGGGUAACACUAACUGGAGGACCGAACCGACUAAUGUUGAAAAAUUAGCGGAUGACCUGUGGCUGGGGGUGAAAGGCCAAUCAAACCGGGAGAUAGCUGGUUCUCCCCGAAAGCUAUUUAGGUAGCGCCUCGUGAAUUCAUCUCCGGGGGUAGAGCACUGUUUCGGCUAGGGGGCCAUCCCGGCUUACCAACCCGAUGCAAACUGCGAAUACCGGAGAAUGUUAUCACGGGAGACACACGGCGGGUGCUAACGUCCGUCGUGAAGAGGGAAACAACCCAGACCGCCAGCUAAGGUCCCAAAGUCAUGGUUAAGUGGGAAACGAUGUGGGAAGGCCCAGACAGCCAGGAUGUUGGCUUAGAAGCAGCCAUCAUUUAAAGAAAGCGUAAUAGCUCACUGGUCGAGUCGGCCUGCGCGGAAGAUGUAACGGGGCUAAACCAUGCACCGAAGCUGCGGCAGCGACACUGUGUGUUGUUGGGUAGGGGAGCGUUCUGUAAGCCUGUGAAGGUGGCCUGUGAGGGUUGCUGGAGGUAUCAGAAGUGCGAAUGCUGACAUAAGUAACGAUAAAGCGGGUGAAAAGCCCGCUCGCCGGAAGACCAAGGGUUCCUGUCCAACGUUAAUCGGGGCAGGGUGAGUCGACCCCUAAGGCGAGGCCGAAAGGCGUAGUCGAUGGGAAACAGGUUAAUAUUCCU
This 1242-nucleotide ribosomal RNA is filed under the name Salmonella enterica subsp. enterica. Its description in RNAcentral is "partial 23S ribosomal RNA". It matches the Rfam family "Bacterial large subunit ribosomal RNA", at positions 161 to 1440 of the family's 2925-position model. The record is from RNAcentral. Lineage: Bacteria; Pseudomonadati; Pseudomonadota; Gammaproteobacteria; Enterobacterales; Enterobacteriaceae.